RNAcentral lists this small RNA (125 nucleotides) under Marmota monax (woodchuck). The record is from RNAcentral. Lineage: Eukaryota; Metazoa; Chordata; Mammalia; Rodentia; Sciuridae.
GCCGGGCAUGGUGGUGCAUGCUUGUAAUCCCAGCAGCUCAAGAGGCUGAGGCAGGAGGAUCAUGAGUUCAAAGACAGCCUCAGCAAAAGCUAGGCACUAAGCAACUCAGUGAGACCCUGUCUCUA